RNAcentral lists this ribosomal RNA (910 nucleotides) under uncultured bacterium. RNAcentral's name for it is "bacterial SSU rRNA". It matches the Rfam family "Bacterial small subunit ribosomal RNA", at positions 9 to 916 of the family's 1533-position model. The record is from RNAcentral.
GAGUUUGAUCCUGGCUCAGGAUGAACGCUGGCGGCGUGCUUAACACAUGCAAGUCGAACGAAGCACGGGGACGGAAGCCCUCCGGGGUGGAAGGCCGCGUGACUGAGUGGCGGACGGGUGAGUAACGCGUGGGUAACCUGCCCCAUACAGGGGGAUAACAGCCGGAAACGGCUGCUAAUACCGCAUGCACAUGCGGGGGCGCAUGCCCCUGGAUGGAAAGCUUUCGCGGUAUGGGAUGGGCCCGCGUCUGAUUAGGCAGUUGGCGGGGUAACGGCCCACCAAACCGACGAUCAGUAGCCGGCCUGAGAGGGCAACCGGCCACAUUGGGACUGAGACACGGCCCAAACUCCUACGGGAGGCAGCAGUGGGGAAUAUUGCACAAUGGGGGGGACCCUGAUGCAGCGACGCCGCGUGGGUGAAGGAGUAUUUCGGUAUGUAAAGCCCUAUCAGCAGGGAAGAACAAUGACGGUACCUGACUAAGAAGCACCGGCUAAAUACGUGCCAGCAGCCGCGGUAAUACGUAUGGUGCAAGCGUUAUCCGGAUUUACUGGGUGUAAAGGGAGCGCAGGCGGCGCGUUAAGCCUGGUGUGAAAGCCCGCGGCCCAACCGCGGGACUGCAUUGGGAACUGGCGCGCUGGAGUGCCGGAGGGGUAGGCGGAAUUCCUAGUGUAGCGGUGAAAUGCGUAGAUAUUAGGAGGAACACCAGUGGCGAAGGCGGCCUACUGGACGGUGACUGACGCUGAGGCUCGAAAGCGUGGGGAGCAAACAGGAUUAGAUACCCUGGUAGUCCACGCCGUAAACGGUGAAUACUAGGUGUCGGGCCCCAUUGGGGGCCGGUGCCGCAGCAAACGCAGUAAGUAUUCCACCUGGGGAGUACGUUCGCAAGAAUGAAACUCAAAGGAAUUGACGG